UUGCCUAUGACGAAACCCUAGAAAUAUUACACCAUCUUUCGGGGCUGAACAGCCUUCUUUCGAGGGCUCUGAUGUAUUUCUGCAAUUCUGAGGCGA
This is a small nucleolar RNA of Andrographis paniculata, 96 nucleotides long. RefSeq annotates it as small nucleolar RNA SNORD96 family. The transcript has a single exon. The record is from RefSeq and is a predicted model, not a curated record. NCBI's taxonomy places the organism in Eukaryota, Viridiplantae, Streptophyta, Magnoliopsida, Lamiales, Acanthaceae.